GAGGGAACAGCGUGAACAGUGAGAAACUGCAGCCCCGCCACCCCGAGGCCCGGAGCAGGCCAAGAUUAUCUGUAAAUCAGAUAAGAAGGAUUCUCAAAGUAAAAGGUAUCUUAGUCACUUACAUCAGAUGUAUUCCACUUCGCUCGCUAACAUGGAGUUCUCCAGGAGGAACAGGCUCCGGAGCUGGCCCGGCCGGACACCACCUCGGAGCCGUUUCCGUGAAGCGACUUCACAGAUCUCACAGCCUGAUGACUGGGCGGAGCCCGCGGGUUCUUGGGCGAAGGAGUGGCCUUGUGGGCAUUUGCAGGGAAAAGUGUCUCCCUCUCUUAGUGGCCAAUUUAGGCCCUGCGAUUAGCAUUUGAAUCAGGCCGCCCUGCUGUUUUGAUUGAAAAGAGAAACCCAGCCUUUGUUGUUGCAAUUCAGGGGCGUAAGUGAUUUUCUCCCCUCCUUUAAUCAGGGCAGAGAGUUGGG
RNAcentral lists this long non-coding RNA (471 nucleotides) under Capra hircus (goat). RNAcentral's name for it is "lncRNA (ENSCHIG00000003581.1)". Lineage: Eukaryota; Metazoa; Chordata; Mammalia; Artiodactyla; Bovidae. The record is from RNAcentral.